Molecule: ribosomal RNA, 468 nt
Filed under: uncultured bacterium
Lineage: Bacteria
Description: partial 16S ribosomal RNA
Rfam family: Bacterial small subunit ribosomal RNA
Source: RNAcentral
GACGAACGCUGGCGGCGUGCUUAACACAUGCAAGUCGAACGGAAAGGCGCUGCUUUUGUGGGGUGCUCGAGUGGCGAACGGGUGAGUAACACGUGAGUAACCUGCCCUUGACUUUGGGAUAACUUCAGGAAACUGGGGCUAAUACCGGAUAGGAGCUCCUGCUGCAUGGUGGGGGAUGGAAAGUUUCGGCGGUUGGGGAUGGACUCGCGGCUUAUCAGUUUGUUGGUGGGGUAGUGGCUUACCAAGGCUUUGACGGGUAGCCGGCCUGAGAGGGUGACCGGCCACAUUGGGACUGAGAUACGGCCCAGACUCCUACGGGAGGCAGCAGUGGGGAAUAUUGCACAAUGGGCGGAAGCCUGAUGCAGCAACGCCGCGUGCGGGAUGACGGCCUUCGGGUUGUAAACCGCUUUCGCCUGUGACGAAGCGUGAGUGACGGUAAUGGGUAAAGAAGCACCGGCUAACUACGUG